Vicia faba (fava bean) is the source of this 252-nucleotide non-coding RNA. The record is from the annotation of a GenBank genome assembly. NCBI's taxonomy places the organism in Eukaryota, Viridiplantae, Streptophyta, Magnoliopsida, Fabales, Fabaceae.
AUGAGGGUUAUGGUUGCAAUCGAAAACCCUUGGGACAUAAUUGUUCAAUAUGCUAGACCUUAUGAGAUAUAUGUGCUCAAAUUUGCCCAAUAUACUGGUGCUCGUACUUUUGUUGGUAGACACACCUCUGGCACAUUCACAAAUCAACUUCAAACUUCAUUUUGUGAGCCUCGUCUUCUUAUACUCACUGAUCCAAGAAUUGAUCACCAGCCAAUUAAGAAACUUGCUCUUGGUAUAUAUUGGUCUUUUUGA